UUUUUUUGACCAGAAUCCAAUUGGGCAUUGGCACUUAAAAUAUACAAGUAGCACACCAACAGAAAACACUAACAUAAAUUCAAUCCAAUUGCUGAUCCAAGAGCUGCAAUGUAUAUAAGAAAAGAAAUGUGAGUUGAUUACUAUUGUGUAUUUAUGUCAAUGAUAUACACCGUUAUUCAUCUUAUUGGCAACUGUAUUCCUUAUGGCAGAACCAACUUUAACAACUUGAAUAAUAUUUCAAGGCUUUGUAAUCCUCGUCUAGUUAUAAUGAAACUAGUGGGGUGGUGGCGUGCAAUGCACGCAAGAGGCCGGUACCACGCGUAGAGGAACACCGCAUUUCGUUAGUACCAAGUAUCUAUCUUCCCCGAACAUACCGAAGCAGGCCCCGGUCAGGGCUGAAGAGGGUAGUGAAGUUAAGUCGCUCCUCUUCGUUGCCGACCAUUUUUGUUUCGUUUCACAGUUCUUUAAUUUUUCUUCAUUAACCCAAAAAAGUGUGUAUUGCUCCAUAGCCUAGUCCAUUACAUAUGAUUUUGAAAUUUGAAUUUACUUUUUCUAAAGUCAAACAUGAAGCAUAAAUAUGCAGAAUUGUAUAUUAAGUCCUGGGACAAAGAACUUGUGAAAGAAGUGUAUAUCAUAGAGUUCAAAACAAUAAAUUUGAAACUUUACAACUAAUGACUGAAUUAUUGUAUAAGCCCUACCAUAAAAUAAAGGGUGGAGGAAGAAUAAGAAGCCCCUAACGAUGGUUUCAUUUCAGAAGAGGAACUGAAGAAAAUGUACAAACACAAAAAGCAAUGUUAAAAGAAUUAUUUGCUCAAUAUCAUGCAUAUUAUUAUGAGUAUGGGUAAUUUAUAGAAAAUGUCCAAAAUAACACAAUUAGUAUUCACGACGGUGAAGAAUGAAUAGGAGUGGAUUCUUGCUACAUAUUUUCCCAUUUGUGCGUUAUAUCCAAUAGUCUUCUAUUUUAACUGAAACCUUCCUGAGAAGGUGUCUGGACACCUCUAUGAAUCGUAGAAGAAAGUUUCAGACCCUACCAACUUCUCAUGUUCACUUACCAUAUUUGAGAGCGUAAAAGUAUACAAUAUAAUACAUAUCAAUCACAAAUUGUGACAAAUGUAAGUUCAGAUUAGUAUAGUUUAUGUGUACUAAGAGCUUAGAACAAUACAGAACAAAGGAAAAAAUAUAUUUGAUUUACAUAAAACAAUAAGUGGAACAUACUCAUUAAGUAAUAUGUGAAACUUACCUUGUUACAAGCACUAUAGAAUCCAGCGAACAAACAAUGUUGGUCCCAACAGAGAAUAUGCACUUCCACCAAGUCCUGCCAGAGCAAAAAAUUCAUGAUACCAAUAGUGUCUUCAAAGCCACAUCAUGUAUGCAUCUCACUGCCUAAAAUAUUAAGAGAACAAUUCUGACUCACCGUUUAAUUCGCACUUUAAGAAAUGUAAAGAGGGAAUCAAUUUCCCUUUGUGAUAGAAGUACUCCCUCCUCCUUCCAACAAUGUCCAUCUUUUCAAUUUGGGAUGUCCCAAAAAAUAUUGUUCAUUUUGAAAGUCAAAUCAUAAAAUUUGUAAGUUUUCAAAACUAUCCCUUAACAAAUAGAUAUAAAUAUACUUGAAAGUACAAAGGCAAUCUUGAAAAAAAUGCUUAGAUAUUUAGAUUCUAAUGCAUUAAUUGCACGUCCCCUUAAAAAUUUAGAACUCUAAAAAGGGACCACGAUAUGGGAUAGAGGGAGUACCAAUCUAGUCCAGUGAUGUAGAACACCAAUUUCGUCUCACCGCUUAAUUCCCUUUUUCAGAACUGUAAAAGAGCAAAUCAAUUUCCCUUUGCUUAUACAGUGCCAAUUUCAAAUCAUCAAUGAAUUAAUUUUGCUCUUUUCUUGUACCUUCUUUAUGCUCUGGAUCAACCGAUCGAUAGUUAAAAAGAGUUCUCAAGACACACCCAAUCAACACAUUAAUGAAAAAAAAAAAGAAGACAUAAAAUGCAAAAAUAUCAUAACAUGUUAGUAUCAAGUAAGAAACAAACCAAAUAUCACUAUAUGUCAUUGCAUCUCCCUUGAAUUGAAUUGUGGAGAUAUGAUCAAAUUAACCAAAGCCUCCACAUGCAUUUCAAAUAUAAUCCUACUCCAUAAACAACCUCCACAAUGCAUGAAGAUAUGGUAUCCUUCUGUUUGGAAUGCAGACUUGAGUGGA
This 2185-nucleotide long non-coding RNA is filed under the name Actinidia chinensis (golden kiwifruit). RNAcentral describes it as "long non-coding RNA (ACHI_LNC005385)". The record is from RNAcentral. Lineage: Eukaryota; Viridiplantae; Streptophyta; Magnoliopsida; Ericales; Actinidiaceae.